Molecule: long non-coding RNA, 199 nt
Filed under: Theobroma cacao (cacao)
Lineage: Eukaryota; Viridiplantae; Streptophyta; Magnoliopsida; Malvales; Malvaceae
Description: long non-coding RNA (TCAC_LNC001119)
Source: RNAcentral
GGGAUCUACAUUUUCCAAACCGUAGGUUCACAGUCCUCUUUACUUUUGUUUAUUCGGGGGCCCUCUUGUUAUUGUAAAUUAAAUUAAAUAUUUUGGUUUACUGUAUUACAGUAUGUAUAAAUUUAUUUAGCUUUUACGCUACAAAAAUUAUUUACAUAUAACUCUAUAAAUAUUGUUUUAUAAGAAAAUAGAAUAUUUU